UACGAAGGGGGCUAGCGUUGCUCGGAAUCACUGGGCGUAAAGGGCGCGUAGGCGGCUUAUCAAGUCGGGGGUGAAAGCCCGUGGCUCAACCACGGAAUGGCCUUCGAUACUGGUAGGCUUGAGACCGGAAGAGGACAGCGGAACUGCGAGUGUAGAGGUGAAAUUCGUAGAUAUUCGCAAGAACACCAGUGGCGAAGGCGGCUGUCUGGUCCGGUUCUGACGCUGAGGCGCGAAAGCGUGGGGAGCGAACAGG
Molecule: ribosomal RNA, 253 nt
Filed under: uncultured bacterium
Lineage: Bacteria
Description: partial 16S ribosomal RNA
Rfam family: Bacterial small subunit ribosomal RNA
Source: RNAcentral